GAUCAUGGCUCAGGACGAACGCUGGCGGCGCGCCUAACACAUGCAAGUCGAACGGGGUUAUACGGGAUGAAGUUUUCGGAUGGAAUUCUGUAUAACCUAGUGGCGGGACGGGUGAGUAACACGUGAGCAACCUGCCUAUCAGAGGGGGAUAACGAUUGGAAACGAUCGCUAAUACCGCAUGACAUAGCGAAACCGCAUGGUUUUGCUAUCAAAGAUUUAUCGCUGAUAGAUGGG
Molecule: ribosomal RNA, 234 nt
Filed under: uncultured bacterium
Lineage: Bacteria
Description: partial 16S ribosomal RNA
Rfam family: Bacterial small subunit ribosomal RNA
Source: RNAcentral